This 1194-nucleotide ribosomal RNA is filed under the name uncultured bacterium. Its description in RNAcentral is "bacterial SSU rRNA". It matches the Rfam family "Bacterial small subunit ribosomal RNA", at positions 134 to 1335 of the family's 1533-position model. The record is from RNAcentral.
UACAGAGGGAUAGCCCAGAGAAAUUUGGAUUAAUACCUCAUGGUAUUAUAGAGUGGCAUCACUUUAUAAUUAAAGUCACAACGGUAAAAGAUGGGCAUGCGUCCCAUUAGCUAGAUGGUAAGGUAACGGCUUACCAUGGCUACGAUGGGUAGGGGUCCUGAGAGGGAGAUCCCCCACACUGGUACUGAGACACGGACCAGACUCCUACGGGAGGCAGCAGUGAGGAAUAUUGGUCAAUGGACGCAAGUCUGAACCAGCCAUGCCGCGUGCAGGAUGACGGUCCUAUGGAUUGUAAACUGCUUUUGUACGAGAAGAAACACCCCUACGUGUAGGGACUUGACGGUAUCGUAAGAAUAAGGAUCGGCUAACUCCGUGCCAGCAGCCGCGGUAAUACGGAGGAUCCAAGCGUUAUCCGGAAUCAUUGGGUUUAAAGGGUCUGUAGGCGGUUUGGUAAGUCAGUGGUGAAAGCCCAUCGCUCAACGGUGGAACGGCCAUUGAUACUGCCAGACUUGAAUUAUUGGGAAGUAACUAGAAUAUGUAGUGUAGCGGUGAAAUGCUUAGAGAUUACAUGGAAUACCAAUUGCGAAGGCAGGUUACUACCAAUGGAUUGACGCUGAUGGACGAAAGCGUGGGGAGCGAACAGGAUUAGAUACCCUGGUAGUCCACGCCGUAAACGAUGGAUACUAGCUGUUGGUGGCAACAUCAGUGGCUAAGCGAAAGUGAUAAGUAUCCCACCUGGGGAGUACGGGCGCAAGCCUGAAACUCAAAGGAAUUGACGGGGGCCCGCACAAGCGGUAGAGCAUGUGGUUUAAUUCGAUGAUACGCGAGGAACCUUACCAAGGCUUAAAUGUAGUUUGACCGAUUUGGAAACAGAUCUUUCGCAAGACAGAUUACAAGGUGCUGCAUGGUUGUCGUCAGCUCGUGCCGUGAGGUGUCAGGUUAAGUCCUAUAACGAGCGCAACCCCUGUUGUUAGUUGCCAGCGAGUAGUGUCGGGAACUCUAACAAGACUGCCAGUGCAAACUGUGAGGAAGGUGGGGAUGACGUCAAAUCAUCACGGCCCUUACGCCUUGGGCUACACACGUGCUACAAUGGCCGGUACAGAGAGCAGCCACCCCGCGAGGGGGAGCGAAUCUAUAAAGCCGGUCACAGUUCGGAUCGGAGUCUGCAACUCGACUCCGUGAAGCUGGAAUCGC